UACGAAGGGGCUAGCGUUGUUCGGAAUCACUGGGCGUAAAGCGCACGUAGGCGGACUGUUAAGUCGGGGGUGAAAUCCUGAGGCUCAACCUCAGAACUGCCUCCGAUACUGGCGGUCUCGAGUUCGGAAGAGGUUGGUGGAACAGCUAGUGUAGAGGUGAAAUUCGUAGAUAUUAGCUAGAACACCAGUGGCGAAGGCGGCCAACUGGUCCGACACUGACGCUGAGGUGGCGAAAGCGUGGGGAGCAACAGGGAUUAAGA
This 260-nucleotide ribosomal RNA is filed under the name uncultured bacterium. RNAcentral describes it as "partial 16S ribosomal RNA". It matches the Rfam family "Bacterial small subunit ribosomal RNA", at positions 524 to 783 of the family's 1533-position model. The record is from RNAcentral.